This 376-nucleotide ribosomal RNA is filed under the name uncultured bacterium. RNAcentral's name for it is "bacterial SSU rRNA". It matches the Rfam family "Bacterial small subunit ribosomal RNA", at positions 362 to 757 of the family's 1533-position model. The record is from RNAcentral.
UAUUGCACAAUGGACGAAAGUCUGAUGCAGCAACGCCGCGUGGAGGAUGACACAUUUCGGUGCGUAAACUCCUUUUAUAUGGGAAGAUAAUGACGGUACCAUAUGAAUAAGCACCGGCUAACUCCGUGCCAGCAGCCGCGGUAAUACGGAGGGUGCAAGCGUUACUCGGAAUCACUGGGCGUAAAGAGCGUGUAGGCGGGUAGUUAAGUCAGAAGUGAAAUCCAAUAGCUCAACUAUUGAACUGCUUUUGAAACUGAUUACCUAGAAUAUGGGAGAGGUAGAUGGAAUUUCUGGUGUAGGGGUAAAAUACGUAGAGAUCAGAAGGAAUACCGAUUGCGAAGGCGAUCUACUGGAACAUUUCGACGCGAGACGCGAA